RNAcentral lists this signal recognition particle RNA (300 nucleotides) under Homo sapiens (human). RNAcentral describes it as "LHRI_LNC2063.1". It matches the Rfam family "Metazoan signal recognition particle RNA". From Rfam's summary of the family: The signal recognition particle (SRP) is a universally conserved ribonucleoprotein. It is involved in the co-translational targeting of proteins to membranes. Lineage: Eukaryota; Metazoa; Chordata; Mammalia; Primates; Hominidae. The record is from RNAcentral.
CAGCACUUUGGGAGGCUGAGGUGGGAGGAUCGCUUGAGCCCAGGAGUUCUGGGCUGUAGUGCGCUAUGCCGAUCGGGUGUCCGCACUAAGUUCGGCAUCAAUAUGGUGACCUCCCGGGAGCGGGGGACCACCAGGUUGCCUAAGGAGGGGUGAACCGGCCCAGGUCGGAAACGGAGCAGGUCAAAACUCCCGUGCUGAUCAGUAGUGGGAUUGCGCCUGUGAAUAGCCACUGCACUCCAGCCUGGGCAACAUAGUGAGACCCUGCCUCUUUUGAGUUCUCACCUUAUAAAGUAGCCUUUC